This is a non-coding RNA of Pangasius djambal, 73 nucleotides long. The record is from the annotation of a GenBank genome assembly. Lineage: Eukaryota; Metazoa; Chordata; Actinopteri; Siluriformes; Pangasiidae.
UCCCUGGAGGGCUUAGUGGUUAGGCCCCGGCGCUCUCACUGCCGCGGCCCGGGUUCGACUCUGGGCCAGGGAA